Long non-coding RNA from Musa acuminata AAA Group (dessert banana), 751 nucleotides. RefSeq lists it as uncharacterized. The record is from RefSeq and is a predicted model, not a curated record. Lineage: Eukaryota; Viridiplantae; Streptophyta; Magnoliopsida; Zingiberales; Musaceae. The transcript is spliced from 2 exons.
CACAAACCCAAACCCUAAACCAGAACGGUCGAUGACAAACCCUCAUUCCUGGACUCCAUAGCCGCUCUCUCCUCCUCCUCCCCCAGACCCUUCGUUGCUCGCUCACCCGCCCAUGUUCCUCCCCGUCUUUAUACGUUGCUGGGGACGCACUGCGCGCGUCGUCUCUUGCUACAACAUGAAGCGAGGGAGCUAUUUCGUCUUGGUCACCACUGAAGCACUCGAGUGGGUGCUUAGGUAAGUGUAGCCAAGUCGCGGCAAGUGGAGGUGCUCCCUUGGCAACAUCAAGCUUUUGCUCGAGGAUUUUGAUCCAUAAAGUAGCGGAAAAGAAAACAAGAGCAAAUUGAGCUUUCUAGUAUUUUGCAGCGAUCACCAGGUGAUGGAGCUCUUGGGCUUGGAUGAGCAUCGACAGAAGGAAGAAAAGCCCUCCAUGACACUGGGUGGAAGAGGAAGAGUGAAGGGAGGAAGCACGUUCUUUGGGCUGUCCACACCCUCGUUGCCAGAAGCAAACGAUUUUGCCAAUGCGGUCUGUUGCUUGUUUAGUCCUUCCAUGAUGAAUGAGAAGGCUCCAAAAGUGAGGCAGCUCUGAAGCAGAGCAUGGGGUGCCCCUGGAAGACAAUAAAAAGUGUCAAAAACAAAGAAAAUGUAGUGAACAGAGGCAAAUUAGUUUUGCAAGCUUCAUUCAUGUAAGAGCUAUGGCUGUAACACUUCAGUUCAGCGAUUACACAGACCAAAAUUUGGUCUUUAUUUUUCA